This 524-nucleotide ribosomal RNA is filed under the name uncultured bacterium. Its description in RNAcentral is "partial 16S ribosomal RNA". It matches the Rfam family "Bacterial small subunit ribosomal RNA", at positions 28 to 523 of the family's 1533-position model. The record is from RNAcentral.
GACGAACGCUGGCGGCGUGCCUAAUACAUGCAAGUCGAACGAAGCUGUUUUAACUGGUGCUUGCACCGACUUAAACAACUGAGUGGCGAACGGGUGAGUAACACGUGGGUAACCUGCCCCAAAGCGGGGGAUAACAUUUGGAAACAGAUGCUAAUACCGCAUAAUCACAGAAACCACAUGGUUUCUGUGUCAAAGAUGGUUUCGGCUAUCACUUUGGGAUGGACCCGCGGCGUAUUAGCUAGUUGGUAAGGUAAUGGCUUACCAAGGCAAUGAUACGGAGCCGAACUGAGAGGUUGAUCGGCCACAUUGGGACUGAGACACGGCCCAAACUCCUACGGGAGGCAGCAGUAGGGAAUCUUCCACAAUGGACGAAAGUCUGAUGGAGCAACGCCGCGUGAGUGAAGAAGGUUUUCGGAUCGUAAAAUUCUGUUGUCAGAGAAGAACGUGUGCGAGAGUAACUGUUCGUGCAGUGACGGUAUCUGGCCAGAAAGCCACGGCUAACUACGUGCCAGCCGCCGCCGUAA